GUUUCCAUAGUGUAGUGGUUAUCACGUUCGCCUCACACGCGAAAGGUCCCCAGUUUCCCCAGGUCCCCGGAACUGGGUGGAAACA
Molecule: non-coding RNA, 85 nt
Organism: Alosa alosa (allis shad)
Lineage: Eukaryota; Metazoa; Chordata; Actinopteri; Clupeiformes; Clupeidae
Source: the annotation of a RefSeq genome assembly